This 587-nucleotide ribosomal RNA is filed under the name uncultured bacterium. RNAcentral's name for it is "bacterial SSU rRNA". It matches the Rfam family "Bacterial small subunit ribosomal RNA", at positions 338 to 916 of the family's 1533-position model. The record is from RNAcentral.
CCUACGGGAGGCAGCAGUGGGGAAUUUUGGACAAUGGGGGCAACCCUGAUCCAGCCAUGCCGCGUGUGUGAAGAAGGCCUUCGGGUUGUAAAGCACUUUCGGACGGAACGAAAUCGCGCGGGUGAAUAUCCCGCGUGGAUGACGGUACUGUAUGAAGAAGCACCGGCUAACUACGUGCCAGCAGCCGCGGUAAUACGUAGGGUGCGAGCGUUAAUCGGAAUUACUGGGCGUAAAGCGUGCGCAGGCGGCUUCGCAAGUCAGACGUGAAAUCCCCGGGCUUAACCUGGGAAUGGCGUUUGAAACUACGGAGCUGGAGUGUGGCAGAGGGAGGUAGAAUUCCACGUGUAGCGGUGAAAUGCGUAGAUAUGUGGAGGAAUACCGAUGGCGAAGGCAGCCUCCUGGGCCAACACUGACGCUCAUGCACGAAAGCGUGGGGAGCAAACAGGAUUAGAUACCCUGGUAGUCCACGCCCUAAACUAUGUCAACUAGUUGUUGGGGGAGUUAAAUCCCUUAGUAACGCAGCUAACGCGUGAAGUUGACCGCCUGGGGAGUACGGUCGCAAGAUUAAAACUCAAAGGAAUUGACGG